GGCAACAGCUCAAAUUUGAAAUCUGGCCUCGGCCCGAGUUGUAAUUUGCAGAGGAUGCUUUUGGUGCGGUGCCUUCCGAGUUCCCUGGAACGGGACGCCACAGAGGGUGAGAGCCCCGUAUGGUUGGACACCAAUCCUGUGUAAAGCUCCUUCGACGAGUCGAGUAGUUUGGGAAUGCUGCUCUAAAUGGGAGGUAAAUCUCUUCUAAAGCUAAAUACCGGCCAGAGACCGAUAGCGCACAAGUAGAGUGAUCGAAAGAUGAAAAGCACCUUGAAAAGGGGGUUAAACAGUACGUGAAAUUGUUGAAAGGGAAGCACUUGUGACCAGACUUGGGCCGGGCGGCUCAUCAGGGGUUCUCCCCUGUGCAUUCCGCCCGGUACAGGCCAGCAUCGGUUCUUACCGGGGGAUAAGAACGGCAGGAACGUGGCUCCCCCUCGGGGGAGUGUUAUAGCCUGCCGUACGAUACCCUGGCGGGGACCGAGGUUCGCGCUUCCGCAAGGAUGCUGGCGUAAUGGUUACUAGUGACCCGUCUUGAAACACGGACCAAGGAGUCGUCCAUUAGAGCGAGCGUUUGGGUGUCAAACCCCCACGCGUAAUGAAAGUGAAAUUAGGUGAGAGCUUCGGCGCAUCAUCGACCGAUCCUGAUGUUCUCGGAUGGAUUUGAGUAAGAGUUUUAACGGACGGACCCGAAAGACAGUGAACUAUGCUUGUAUAGGGUGAAGCCAGAGGAAACUCUGGUGGAGGCUCGCAGCGGUUCUGACGUGCAAAUCGAUCGUCA
RNAcentral lists this ribosomal RNA (778 nucleotides) under Sphaerosporithyrium mexicanum. Its description in RNAcentral is "eukaryotic LSU rRNA". It matches the Rfam family "Eukaryotic large subunit ribosomal RNA", at positions 100 to 907 of the family's 3401-position model. The record is from RNAcentral. Lineage: Eukaryota; Fungi; Ascomycota; Sordariomycetes; Diaporthales; Tubakiaceae.